AGGUCACUGCUAUUGGGAUUCGGCUAAGCCAUGCGAGUCGUGAGGGUUCGGCCCUCGGCAGACGGCUCAGUAACACGUGGAUAAUCUACCCUUAGGUGGAGGAUACCCUCGGGAAACUGAGAAUAAUACUCCAUAGAUCUAGACUGCUGGAAUGCUUUUAGAUCGAAAGAUUUAUCGCCUAAGGAUGAGUCUGCGGACUAUCAGGUUGUAGUCAGGGUAAUGACCUGACUAGCCUACGACGGAUACGGGUAGUGAGAGCUUUAGCCCGGAGAUGAUAUCUGAGACACGAUAUCAGGCCCUACGGGGCGCAGCAGGCGCGAAAACUUCGCACUGUGCGAAAGCACGACGAGGGAAUCCCAAGUGCUGGCUCGUAAGAGUCAGCUGUUUCUCUGUCUAAAAAACAGGGAGAGUAAGGGCUGGGUAAGACGGGUGCCAGCCGCCGCGGUAAUACCUGCAGCCCAAGUGGUGGCCGCUAUUAUUGGGCCUAAAACGUCCGUAGCCGGUUCUAUAAAUGCCUGGGUAAAUCGUACGGCUUAACCGUACGAAUUCCGGGUAGACUGUUCAACUUGGGACCGGGAGAGGCUAGAGGUACUCCUGGGGUAGAGGUGAAAUUCUGUAAUCCUAGGGGGACCACCAGUGGCGAAGGCGUCUAGCUAGAACGGGUCUGACGGUGAGGGACGAAGCCCUGGGGAGCAAACGGGAUUAGAUACCCCGGUAGUCCAGGGUGUAAACGCUGCUCGCUUGAUGUUAGUCGGGCUUCGAGCCCAACUAGUGUCGGAGAGAAGUUGUUAAGCGAGCUGCCUGGGGAGUACGGUCGCAAGACUGAAACUUAAAGGAAU
RNAcentral lists this ribosomal RNA (839 nucleotides) under uncultured euryarchaeote. RNAcentral's name for it is "bacterial SSU rRNA". It matches the Rfam family "Archaeal small subunit ribosomal RNA", at positions 21 to 865 of the family's 1478-position model. Lineage: Archaea; Methanobacteriati; Methanobacteriota. The record is from RNAcentral.